UGGGACUUUAGUAAUUGCGAAUGAACAAGGAUAUGCUUAGCUUGACAAAUGGAGCUAUUGGCUUUGAAUUGUAUUGUGGAAAUGUAUUACCAACAGAGGUGCAGGUGCCAGCCUAUUGAAAUAAAGCGUCAAUGAGGGUGAGAAUCCUGUUUGUCAUGUGCAGCCCUUUGUGCACGGUGUAUAUUUGCUGAGUCACACUCCUUGGCAUUGGAAUGCAAAGUGGGUGGUAAGUUUCAUGUAAAGGUAAACAUGCAAUUGAGACUGAUAGCACACAAGUACCAUGAGGGAAAUAUGAAAAGGACUUUGAAAAGAGAAUUAAAUGAGUUUGUAUUUGCUGAACACAAAGUAAACAGACUUGAUUUGCUUGGUGGGAGUGUUGCACUUGCUUGACAAGAGCUUUGGGCUGUGGGUGUAAUGAUUCUUUCUUUGCAUGCCAGUUUCUAUUUGUACAUCUGAUUACCUUUGCACAUGAAUGAUAAGUCUCCUGUGGGGGGUGGAUUGCAUGUGCAUGUAAUGAUUUGUGUUUUGAUAAAUGUGUCUGGUGUAUGUGUGUGUUCCUGUGCUUGGGGAUGCUUCCUUCCUUGGACUUACAAGCCCUGACACACACAUGCUGGCAAAAUGCUUCUGCUUGACCCGUCUUGAAACACGGACCAAGGAGUCUAACAGAUGUGCAAGUUUGAAGGUGGUAUACCUUUGUGUGCAAUGAAAGUGUCAGCUGGGAUAUGUGCACCAGCACCCAAUUAAUUAGCGGACAGAGGUUUGAGUUGGAGCAUAUCUAUUAGACCCGAAAGAUGGUGAACUAUGCCUGAACAGAAUGAAUUCAGAGGAAACUCUGAUGGAGGUUCGUAUCGAUACUGACGUGCAAAUCUUCGUCAUAUUUGGGUAUAGGGGGAAACUAAUCGAACUCUAGUAGCUGUUCCCUCCGAAGUUUCCCUCAGGACUGGAGUUGCUCAGUUUU
RNAcentral lists this ribosomal RNA (958 nucleotides) under Alexandrium catenella. RNAcentral's name for it is "partial large subunit ribosomal RNA". It matches the Rfam family "Eukaryotic large subunit ribosomal RNA", at positions 70 to 996 of the family's 3401-position model. Lineage: Eukaryota; Dinophyceae; Gonyaulacales; Pyrocystaceae. The record is from RNAcentral.